RNAcentral lists this ribosomal RNA (346 nucleotides) under uncultured Peredibacter sp. RNAcentral's name for it is "bacterial SSU rRNA". It matches the Rfam family "Bacterial small subunit ribosomal RNA", at positions 1014 to 1360 of the family's 1533-position model. The record is from RNAcentral. Lineage: Bacteria; Pseudomonadati; Bdellovibrionota; Bacteriovoracia; Bacteriovoracales; Bacteriovoracaceae.
UGCCCGCAAGGGAAUGUAGUGAGAGGUGCUGCAUGGCUGUCGUCAGCUCGUGUUGUGAAAUGUUGGGUUAAGUCUCGCAACGAGCGCAACCCCUACCGUCUGUUGCCAGCAUUAAGUUGGGCACUCUGACGAGACUGCCUGGGUUAACCAGGAGGAAGGUGGGGAUGACGUCAAGUCCUCAUGGCCCUUAUGUCUAGGGCUACACACGUAAUACAAUGGCGCGUACAAAGGGAAGCGAACUAGCAAUAGGGAGCAAAUCUCAAAAAGCGCGCCUCAGUUCGGAUUGAAGUCUGCAACUCGACUUCAUGAAGUUGGAAUCGCUAGUAAUCGGAGAUCAGCACGCUCC